RNAcentral lists this ribosomal RNA (253 nucleotides) under uncultured bacterium. RNAcentral describes it as "partial 16S ribosomal RNA". It matches the Rfam family "Bacterial small subunit ribosomal RNA", at positions 524 to 776 of the family's 1533-position model. The record is from RNAcentral.
UACGGAGGGUGCUAGCGUUGUUCGGAAUUACUGGGCGUAAAGGGCGCGUAGGCGGCCGUUUGCGUCGGAUGUGAAAGCCCGGGGCUCAACCUCGGAACGGCAUUCGAUACGGGACGGCUGGAGACCGGGAGAGGAGAGUGGAAUAGCCAGUGUAGAGGUGAAAUUCGUAGAUAUCAGGAGGAACACCGGUGGCGAAAGCGGCUUCCUGGCCCGACAUUGACGCUCAUGUACGAGAGCGUGGGGAGCAAACAGG